GAGUGCCUAAUAAUAAUAGUGUAAUUAGUUAUAAAAAUAAUAGAGUAAAUAGAGGAGAAAUGUAAUUAGUUAUAGAGAUGUGAUCAUGAAAAAAAUAGAGAAAAUAGAGGAGAAAUGUAACUUUUAUUUUAUAGGAAAAAUUAUGCAUGAGAAAGCACAAAAGUCAUGCUUGGAAAAAAGAAGUAUUAUGUUGUUCUAUAUGAUAUUAUGAUUUGGAAUAAGAAUUCCAAAUAUUUUUUCAUCAAAUUAACUCACGUGUGCCAAAGAAGAAAAUAUUUCACAUGGCUUAUCUUUAAAGGCAAAUGCCUUUAAAUUGGCUGCAUAAUCAUUCAAUACUCACUAAAAUAUUUCAUCUUUCAAUGUAUUUUGCUUUUAUGUGUGUGCCAUGCGCCAUUUGUAAUUGAUUUUGAAAAUUUAUACCAAAUCCUAUAAUUUGAUUCAACUAUUUAUUUGUAAAAUUAGAAUUUGAUUCCCAUUUAUCCUAUUUUCUACUUUAGCCAUAAAGCAUAAAAUUGCAAAUCUUCUCAAUCCUAACAUAACACUAACACAGACAAGUGCAUUAUCCCAAGCAAGUUCUUCAUUCUCUAAUUAUUGGAGCUAGAGCCAACCUUCUAUCCAAGACUAAGGCCUCAUCGCUAGAUAUUGUUUUUCAGUUUUCUUGAACUUAAAGCAUAGAAAUCAGAUCUUACAUAUGGUUCUAGCACAUAACCAAGUAUCACAUUUCCAGAACAUCUGUUGGUGAUCAAUGAACAGAUAACAAAGUAUCACAUUUCCAGUUUAUAUUCUGAUUUUUAGUGAUCAAUGAACAUCUGUUGGCUUGCCAAAAACCAGAACAUCAUCAUUUAGAUCAUCCCAAAUUUAUUUUAAAAGAAUGGAAAACGAGGAAAAACAUAAAGAAGUUGGACUAAUGAAAGAAAAUGCAUACCAAAUCAUCAUCUUCUGGAUUGU
This 948-nucleotide unclassified non-coding RNA is filed under the name Hevea brasiliensis (rubber tree). Lineage: Eukaryota; Viridiplantae; Streptophyta; Magnoliopsida; Malpighiales; Euphorbiaceae. The record is from RNAcentral.